RNAcentral lists this ribosomal RNA (468 nucleotides) under uncultured bacterium. RNAcentral describes it as "partial 16S ribosomal RNA". It matches the Rfam family "Bacterial small subunit ribosomal RNA", at positions 28 to 507 of the family's 1533-position model. The record is from RNAcentral.
GACGAACGCUGGCGGCGUGCUUAACACAUGCAAGUCGAACGGAAAGGCCCUGCUUUUGUGGGGUGCUCGAGUGGCGAACGGGUGAGUAACACGUGAGUAACCUGCCCUUGACUUUGGGAUAACUUCAGGAAACUGGGGCUAAUACCGGAUAGGAGCUCCUGCUGCAUGGUGGGGGUUGGAAAGUUUCGGCGGUUGGGGAUGUACUCGCGGCGUAUCAGCUUGGUGGUGGGGUAGUGGCUUACCAAGGCUUGGACCGGUAGCCGGCCUGAGAGGGUCACCGGCCACAUUGGGACGGAGAUACGGCCCAGACUCCUACGGGAGGCAGCAGUGGGGAAUAUUGCACAAUGGGCGGAAGCCUGAUGUAGCAACGCCGCGUGCGGGAUGACGGCCUUCGGGUUGUAAACCGCUGUCGCCUGUGACGAAGCGUGAGUGACGGUAAUGGGUAAAGAAGCACCGGCUAACUACGUG